This 622-nucleotide long non-coding RNA is filed under the name Columba livia (rock pigeon). RNAcentral describes it as "partial uncharacterized LOC102091984". The record is from RNAcentral. Lineage: Eukaryota; Metazoa; Chordata; Aves; Columbiformes; Columbidae.
UUUAUAUUGACAGCAGCUUCCAGAAGAAACCAUUAUCCCGUGGCGUCCUCCCGAAGAGAAGAGCAGCUCAGUGUGCAGGCGGAGAUUCUGCAGCAGCAGGUAACUCGACUGAUAAAACCAAGAUGGAAGAAAUCAAAGCCAGAGCAGCAGAACUUCAGAAAAAGGAUUUUGACUCGUGGUCGGCUGGACUCAGAACAGAUGGCACAGAAGAGAUGUACAUAGAAACAAAGAAGAUGAAAAGGGACUUUGAGGAGAAACUACUGGAUGCAGGUGGAGAUGCUGGAGGUGGAGAAGCAGCAGGUGACUGGAGAAGCAGGAGCUGAUGGAAUGGCUGAAAGAGGAGCUCGAAGGCACUGAGAAGGAAAUGGCUUCAGGGUCGUGUUCCCUGCCUGCAGCUUCACUGCCAGACACUGCAGGGAACAUCCACCACCACCACCCAUCCACUACCAGCAACGAGACCUCCCAGCAGCUCCUCUGCUCCCGGGGUGUCCUGACAUCCCACCGUCUCCACCAGGAAUGGACAUUCCCCCUCCUGCCCUCGGGUUCAGGAGGGUUCGUGCAGCUCAACUGGUUCCGUGGGCUUCGUCUCCAAAGAAGAUUCUCAUCCAGCUGUACAACUAUG